GAUGAACGCUGGCGGCGUGCCUAAUACAUGCAAGUCGAGCGAACGGACGAGAAGCUUGCUUCUCUGAUGUUAGCGGCGGACGGGUGAGUAACACGUGGAUAACCUACCUAUAAGACUGGGAUAACUUCGGGAAACCGGAGCUAAUACCGGCUGAUAUUUUGAACCGCAUGGUUCAAAAGUGAAAGACGGUCUUGCUGUCACUUAUAGAUGGAUCCGCGCUGCAUUAGCUAGUUGGUAAGGUAACGGCUUACCAAGGCAACGAUGCAUAGCCGACCUGAGAGGGUGAUCGGCCACACUGGAACUGAGACACGGUCCAGACUCCUACGGGAGGCAGCAGUAGGGAAUCUUCCGCAAUGGGCGAAAGCCUGACGGAGCAACGCCGCGUGAGUGAUGAAGGUCUUCGGAUCGUAAAACUCUGUUAUUAGGGAAGAACAUAUGUGUAAGUAACUGUGCACAGCUUGACGGUACCUAAUCAGAAAGCCACGGCUAACUACGUG
This 497-nucleotide ribosomal RNA is filed under the name uncultured bacterium. RNAcentral describes it as "partial 16S ribosomal RNA". It matches the Rfam family "Bacterial small subunit ribosomal RNA", at positions 28 to 507 of the family's 1533-position model. The record is from RNAcentral.